RNAcentral lists this non-coding RNA (25 nucleotides) under Mus musculus (house mouse). Lineage: Eukaryota; Metazoa; Chordata; Mammalia; Rodentia; Muridae. The record is from RNAcentral.
UAGAGAUCAGAAGACAACCUCAGCU